Molecule: ribosomal RNA, 301 nt
Filed under: uncultured bacterium
Lineage: Bacteria
Description: partial 16S ribosomal RNA
Rfam family: Bacterial small subunit ribosomal RNA
Source: RNAcentral
CAGUAGCCGCGGUAAUACGUAGGUGGCAAGCGUUGCCCGGAGUUAUUGGGCGUAAAGGGCUCGCAGGCGGUUUCUUAAGUCUGAUGUGAAAGCCCCCGGCUCAACCGGGGAGGGUCAUUGGAAACUGGGAAACUUGGGUGCAGAAGAGGAGAGUGGAAUUCCACGUGUAGCGGUGAAAUGCGUAGAGAUGUGGAGGAACACCAGUGGCGAAGGCGACUCUCUGGUCUGUAACUGACGCUGAGGAGCGAAAGCGUGGGGAGCGAACAGGAUUAGAUACCCCUGUAGUCCCUGUCUCUUAUAC